Molecule: ribosomal RNA, 253 nt
Filed under: uncultured bacterium
Lineage: Bacteria
Description: partial 16S ribosomal RNA
Rfam family: Bacterial small subunit ribosomal RNA
Source: RNAcentral
UACGAAGGGAGCUAGCGUUGUUCGGAAUCACUGGGCGUAAAGCGCACGUAGGCGGAUGUGUCAGUCAGGGGUGAAAUCCCGGAGCUCAACUUCGGAACUGCCCUUGAUACAGCACAUCUUGAGUCCGGAAGAGGUGGGUGGAAUUCCUAGUGUAGAGGUGAAAUUCGUAGAUAUUAGGAAGAACACCGGUGGCGAAGGCGGCCCACUGGUCCGGUACUGACGCUGAGACGCGAAAGCGUGGGGAGCGAACAGG